AUCACUCCAGCCAUCGCACUCCAGCCUGGGAGACUCCGUAUCAAAACAAACAAACAGACAAACAAAAGACAAUGAAGUCAUCCCCAAUGCAUAUCUUAGCCACAGGUUACUUACUAUCCUUACGAAAAUCUCAUUUCACAAGAAAGAAAAUGAAAAAGCUGUAUAAAGUUUGUUGUUGUUUUUUUUCCUUUUCACCACUAGUUUUAAAAGUCUUACUCUCGGUAUCUAUAUCUAGUACAAGAUAAUAUUUUCUCCAAAAGAGAAAAAGACAGAAAAUUAGUAAGGUACUUGGCUUCACCUCCAUUACUGAUUUAGCAUAGUUAAAAAUAUACUUUAUCAUCAAGUAUAAAACUACCAAUCAGAUGUUUUAAUAUUCCCUUUGCUUCUAUUAUUUCCUUUAAAAGUACACAGAUUCAAAAAUAACUUUAAGACAUCCUCGUUAAAAAUAAGUAUCAUGGUUUAUAAUGUGGUUUCUGUAUGUAAGUAAUGCCGGCCACACUUAUAACAGCAUUUGCUAUACACAAGUCUUUAAGAUAUAUUAAGACAGUGGACAACUCAUUGCGGUGGCGGCAGCAGAUGCUUGGGCACGGUGCAGUGGUGACUCGAGCUACGAGCCUGGUGGCAGUUGUUCACCAAGCUCCGGCCCCCGCGUGUCUCCCAGGCUCCACAACCCUGAUGCUACACAGGUGCUGAGACCACUCCGGCCGGGACAAUGGUCAAGUAUUUCCUGGGCCAGAGCGUGCUCCAGAGUUCCUGGGACCAAGUGUUCGCCAACUUCUGGCAGCAGUACCCGAACCCCUAUAGCAAACAUGUGUUGACAGAAGACACAGUACACCAGGCAGCGACCGCUGACCAGAAACUGCUGUCCCGGCGACUCCUGACCAAGACCAACAGGAUGCCCCACUGGGCCAAGCAACUGUUUCCGGUCAAUGUUGUUCACUUGGUGUACAUCCUGAAGGACUCUAUGUGGACCCACAGAAUCAGACCAUGACCACCUUCACCUGGAACAACAACCAUGCCCGGCUGAUGGUGGUGGAGAAACGAUGUAUGCACUGUGUAAACUCUGACAACAGUGGCUGAACCAAAAUCUGCAGGGAAGCCUGGGUCUCCUCUAGCUUAUUUGGUGUUAACAGAGAUGUCCAGGAAUUUGGUCUUGCCUGGUUCAAAAGCAACGUGAUCAAGACUCUGAAGGGUUUUGAAUAUAUCUUGGCAAAGAUGCAAUGCGAGGCCCCUUCUAAAACACUUGUUGAGACAGCCAAGGAAACCAAGGAGCACACAAAGGAGACGGCACUGGUAGCUACAGAGAAGGCAAGGACCUCACCAGCAAGGCAGCCACCUAGAAGCAGCAGCAGCAGCAGUUUGUAUAGCCAGCUCACCACCACCACAGCAUCCCAGACAGUUUGGUUUAGCCCCCUCUGCCCUCCUCUCCACUGUACUUUAUCAUUAAAAAUCAACUUCCAGCCCUAAAAGUACAUUUAUUUAUUUAUUUAUUAAGACAGCUGAUCAAUUACUUUACCAAACAACACAGAUUUAAUGAAGGAAUUCAUAUGAGAGGACAGGACUAAAAAAACAAGUCACCUUAAAAACAGGAAAACAUUUUUCUUUUCACAGUAAAGGAAUUAUACCAAUUACUUUUUAAAAAUGAAAUUCUCCUUUGUAAAUGUAUAUACUUAGUUUAUGUACUAAGAAUAUUCUUUGUAACCCUGAUUUCAAUUAUACAGUGCCAGUAAAGAAUAUUUUUCUCUAAGUUAACUUGCAUUAAUAUUGACAGAAGAUCAAUUAACUAAAUUUUACAAAUUAUUUCACAAAGAUUACAAAAGACUCACUCAUUACAAAACAUUCACUACCUGAAAUGUCAGAACAGUGUUCAACAGGUCAAAGACAUCAACUGAAUGUUUCUAUCGUUCUGAUCCUUAAAAUUCCUUUCUUGAUGUAGUAGGAACUAAAUUUGCACAGAAGCAGAACUUUGGAAUACAUGAGAAACUUUUCAGUGACUGUAAGCAGAAACACGUACUGGAAUAAAACCAUUCUUCAGUUCAAGUUACCAUUGAUCAUGAUUACCUCACCAGCUAAGAGUAUGGAAACAAAACAUACAAGAAAAUUAAGACCAAUGAAAAAAAGGGAGGAAACAAUAAGGGCAAGAAACUAAAACUCAAAAAUGCUAAUUGUUGAAUACCAUGUAUCUUAUAUUUCCCUUAUCUUUGACUUUUAUCUAAGUACUUCUGAAAUAUCUAUACUAUUAUAAUACUUUUAUUUAAGUCUCAGAAUCUAACAAGAAAAAAAUACUUAGUCAAGGUAAGCCAGGUUAUGCAGCUACGCAAAGAACCAUAAAAUCUCUGUGGCUUAAAAUAAAAUUUCCUUCUUCAGGCUGUCCAUUGCUUAUUGACAGGUCUUUUUUUUGUGGGGGGUGGGGGAUGGAGUUUCACUCUUGUUACCCAGGCUGGAGUGUAAUGGCACAAUCUUGGC
Molecule: RNA transcript, 2466 nt
Organism: Cercocebus atys (sooty mangabey)
Lineage: Eukaryota; Metazoa; Chordata; Mammalia; Primates; Cercopithecidae
Gene name: PRELI domain-containing protein 1, mitochondrial pseudogene
Exons: 1
Source: RefSeq, a predicted model, not a curated record